RNAcentral lists this ribosomal RNA (164 nucleotides) under uncultured bacterium. RNAcentral's name for it is "partial 16S rRNA". It matches the Rfam family "Bacterial small subunit ribosomal RNA", at positions 355 to 511 of the family's 1533-position model. The record is from RNAcentral.
UAGGGAAUCUUCCACAAUGGGCGCAAGCCUGAUGGAGCAACGCCGCGUGAGUGAAGAAGGUCUUCGGAUCGUAAAACUCUGUUGUUAGAGAAGAACAUGCAGGAGAGUAACUGUUCUUGUAUUGACGGUAUCUAACCAGAAAGCCACGGCUAACUACGUGCGAG